AGUGUAGUUGGUUCCCUUAGGCACCCAUACUUUAGUUAUGUUUUUAGCUUUUACAAAUAUACUCUUGUUAGUUUGGAUCUUUCUUUGAAUACAAGAGUAGGCUUUAUGUCCACUUUUUUCACAAUGAAAGCAUGUAGGUUUUUCAGUUUUGACAUCUUUUGCUUUCACAAAGAAAUUCUUUAGAUACUUUUGUUGCUUAUUAGUUUUAUAUCCUAAUCCGGCUUUAUUAAAAACAGCUCUUUGAUUUGAAAGAAUAAGAUUUAAUUUCUCAGAGUUUUGUGUAAAUUUUUCAACAAUUGGUUUGUACUUAUGUACCUCAUUCUUAAGAUCCAAAUUUUCUUUAACUAGUUCUUCCUUAUCCUUUUUAAGGGAUUCAACAUUUUGUGCAAGUGAGGUGUUAUUAUUGAGUAGAGAUUUAACUUUUAGAUUCAAUUCCUUAAUUAAUGUUUUUGCCGUUUCAUUUUCAAUGCUAAGUUUU
RNAcentral lists this long non-coding RNA (478 nucleotides) under Phoenix dactylifera (date palm). Its description in RNAcentral is "long non-coding RNA (PDAC_LNC022317)". Lineage: Eukaryota; Viridiplantae; Streptophyta; Magnoliopsida; Arecales; Arecaceae. The record is from RNAcentral.